This 291-nucleotide ribosomal RNA is filed under the name uncultured bacterium. RNAcentral's name for it is "partial 16S ribosomal RNA". It matches the Rfam family "Bacterial small subunit ribosomal RNA", at positions 505 to 795 of the family's 1533-position model. The record is from RNAcentral.
GUGCCAGCCGCCGCGGUAAUACGGAGGGGGUUAGCGUUGUUCGGAAUUACUGGGCGUAAAGCGCACGUAGGCGGAUUGGAAAGUUGGGGGUGAAAUCCCGGGGCUCAACCUCGGAACUGCCUCCAAAACUAUCAGUCUAGAGUUCGAGAGAGGUGAGUGGAAUUCCGAGUGUAGAGGUGAAAUUCGUAGAUAUUCGGAAGAACACCAGUGGCGAAGGCGGCUCGCUGGCUCGAUACUGACGCUGAGGUGCGAAAGUGUGGGUAGCAAACAGGAUUAGAUACCCGAGUAUCC